CGAAUAGGCAACAUGAAUGACAUUGAGCUUGUAGACGCCGGCAUCGCAUUUUGAGGGGCAAGGGGUGGCUAGUAGCACACUGCGCAGAUGCAGCCUGUGGCUGUGGGCUCCAGAUUUUUCCCGGUCUUUUACUGACAUAUGUCAAUGUUAUGCGAUGCAGUGUGAUGUUUUGGAAUAAAAGAUGUUUCACGGCUUUAAUUCUCGCAAGUGACCGUGGAAUUUAUGUGAAAGGACUGAGGCUUGCGCUUGAAGCAGGGGCAACACCAUUGCAAAACAUCACUUCGUACUUCGAAGUAUUUGGAAUGAACUCAAUGUGAGUACCUUUUACUUUAAAAUAACCUGGAGGAAAUGGAAACCCUUGAAUGGAUCUGGUACUCCCAUUUGACGUCUAGAAGUACUAUGGUGGAAGGUUUGUGUUUUUGUUAAUUUUUUGUUUAUAACAGAAUUGUUUUUUUUUAUUUUAUUGUUAAUUUUUGAAUUGUACAUUAGUCUUUUAAUGUUUAAUAUACUUCGUUUGUAAAAU
Long non-coding RNA from Zophobas morio, 523 nucleotides. RefSeq lists it as uncharacterized. NCBI's taxonomy places the organism in Eukaryota, Metazoa, Arthropoda, Insecta, Coleoptera, Tenebrionidae. The transcript is spliced from 2 exons. The record is from RefSeq and is a predicted model, not a curated record.